CACCACUAAGCCAGUGGUGAACUCCACAUACGCAUCCUUUGCUGAGGAUACGGUUAACGGAGCGAAAGCGACGUUCAACCUCAAAAGAAGCAGAGGGGGCUUAGUGGUGGGGUGACUGCGUACCUUUUGUAUAAUGGGUCAGCGACUUAUAUUCUGUAGCAAGGUUAACCGUAUAGGGGAGCCGGAGGGAAACCGAGUCUUAAUUGGGCGUUAAGUUGCAGGGUAUAGACCCGAAACCCGGUGAUCUAGCCAUGGGCAGGUUGAAGGUUGGGUAACACUAACUGGAGGACCGAACCGACUAAUGUUGAAAAAUUAGCGGAUGACCUGUGGCUGGGGGUGAAAGGCCAAUCAAACCGGGAGAUAGCUGGUUCUCCCCGAAAGCUAUUUAGGUAGCGCCUCGUGAAUUCAUCUCCGGGGGUAGAGCACUGUUUCGGCUAGGGGGCCAUCCCGGCUUACCAACCCGAUGCAAACUGCGAAUACCGGAGAAUGUUAUCACGGGAGACACACGGCGGGUGCUAACGUCCGUCGUGAAGAGGGAAACAACCCAGACCGCCAGCUAAGGUCCCAAAGUCAUGGUUAAGUGGGAAACGAUGUGGGAAGGCCCAGACAGCCAGGAUGUUGGCUUAGAAGCAGCCAUCAUUUAAAGAAAGCGUAAUAGCUCACUGGUCGAGUCGGCCUGCGCGGAAGAUGUAACGGGGCUAAACCAUGCACCGAAGCUGCGGCAGCGAACGUAUCACUUAAAGCGAUUCAGCGGGUUACGAUUGACGGAGCGAAGCGACGUCAAAGCGUAUACAAAGUCGAGUCGGUUUAAGGAUACGUUCGUUGGGUAGGGGAGCGUUCUGUAAGCCUGCGAAGGUGGCCUGUGAGGGUUGCUGGAGGUAUCAGAAGUGCGAAUGCUGACAUAAGUAACGAUAAAGCGGGUGAAAAGCCCGCUCGCCGGAAGACCAAGGGUUCCUGUCCAACGUUAAUCGGGGCAGGGUGAGUCGACCCCUAAGGCGAGGCCGAAAGGCGUAGUCGAUGGGAAACGGGUUAAUAUUCCCGUACUUGGUGUUACUGCGAAGGGGGGACGGAGAAGGCUAUGUUGGCCGGGCGACGGUUGUCCCGGUUUAAGCGUGUAGGUGUGUGUUCCAGGUAAAUCCGGUUCACUUUAACACUGAGGCGUGAUGACGAGGCACUACGGUGCUGAAGCAACAAAUGCCCUGCUUCCAGGAAAAGCCUCUAAGCAUCAGGUAACAUCAAAUCGUACCCCAAACCGACACAGGUGGUCAGGUAGAGAAUACCAAGGCGCUUGAGAGAACUCGGGUGAAGGAACUAGGCAAAAUGGUGCCGUAACUUCGGGAGAAGGCACGCUGACAC
This 1356-nucleotide ribosomal RNA is filed under the name Salmonella enterica subsp. enterica serovar London. Its description in RNAcentral is "partial 23S ribosomal RNA". It matches the Rfam family "Bacterial large subunit ribosomal RNA", at positions 568 to 1757 of the family's 2925-position model. Lineage: Bacteria; Pseudomonadati; Pseudomonadota; Gammaproteobacteria; Enterobacterales; Enterobacteriaceae. The record is from RNAcentral.